Molecule: ribosomal RNA, 497 nt
Filed under: uncultured bacterium
Lineage: Bacteria
Description: partial 16S ribosomal RNA
Rfam family: Bacterial small subunit ribosomal RNA
Source: RNAcentral
GAUGAACGCUGGCGGCGUGCCUAAUACAUGCAAGUCGAGCGAACAGACGAGGAGCUUGCUCCUCUGACGUUAGCGGCGGACGGGUGAGUAACACGUGGAUAACCUACCUAUAAGACUGGGAUAACUUCGGGAAACCGGAGCUAAUACCGGAUAAUAUAUUGAACCGCAUGGUUCAAUAGUGAAAGACGGUUUUGCUGUCACUUAUAGAUGGAUCCGCGCCGCAUUAGCUAGUUGGUAAGGUAACGGCUUACCAAGGCAACGAUGGGCAUCCGACCUGAGCGGGUGGUCGGCCAGACGGGAAGUGAGGCACGGUCCAGAGUCCUACGGUGGGAAGCAGUAGGGAAUCCUCCGCGAUGGGGGAGAGCGUGACGGAGCAACGCGGCGUGAAUGAUGAUGGUGUUCGGAUGGGAGAACUCUGUUGUUAGGGAGGAAGAAAUGUGUAAUUAACAGUGCGGGUCAUGACGGUACCUAAUCAAAAAGGCACGGCUAACUACGUG